GAUUAAGGGCGCGCGGUGGAUGCCUAGGCUCUCGGAGGCGAAGAAGGACGCGAUAAGCCGCGAUAGGCCACGGCGAGGUGCAAGUAACCCUUGACCCGUGGAUUUCCGAAUGGGGCAACCCGGCCGUCUAGAUGACGGUCAUGCAUUAUCAUGCAGGCGAACGCGGGGAACUGAAACAUCUCAUUACCCGCAGGAGAAGAAAACAAAAUGUGAUUCCCCCAGUAGUGGCGAGCGAACGGGGAAGAGCCCAAACCGCUGCCGUUUCGGCGACAGCGGGGUCAUGGGACCGCGAGAUUCGACGGAAGACGAAGUGCAAUUACCUGGAAAGGUAAGCCGUGGAGGGUGAUAGCCCCGUGCACGACACCUCUUUCUUAGAUAGCGGUAUCCCGAGUAGGGCGGGACACGAGAAAUCCUGCCUGAAUUCGCCAGGACCUCCUGGCAAGGCUAAAUACUCCCGAGAGACCGAUAGUGAACCAGUACCGCGAGGGAAAGGUGAAAAGUACCCCGAGCAGGGGGGUGAAAUAGACCCUGAACCCGCGCGCCUACAAGCGGUCGGAGCCACGCGAUGUGGUGACGGCGUGCCUUUUGCAUAAUGAGCCUACGAGUUAGUCGUCACCAGCGAGGUUAAGGGCUUCAGGCCCGUCAGCCGAAGUGAAAGCGAGCCUUAACAGGGCGUAAAGUUGGUGGCGCUAGACGCGAAACCUUGUGAUCUACCCACGAGCAGGUUGAAGUCGCGGUAACACGUGAUGGAGGACCGAACCGGUAAACGUUGAAAAGUUUUCGGAUGACUCGCGGGUAGGGGUGAAAGGCCAAUCAAACUGGGAAAUAGCUCGUACUCUCCGAAAUGCAUUUCGGUGCAGCCUGUGAUGUUCUGUUCCAGAGGUAGAGCUACUGGUUGGACGCGAGGGCUUCACCGCCUAUCAAAUCCGGAUAAACUCCGAAUGCUGGAACACGAAAUCAUGGAGUGAGCCCGCGGGUGCUAAGGUCCGCGGACGAGAGGGAAAGAACCCGGACCACCGGCUAAGGUCCCGGAUGGACAGUUAAGUUGAUCAAACGAGGUGGGAUCGCGGAGACAGCUAGGAUGUUGGCUUGGAAGCAGCCAUUCAUUUAAAGAGUGCGUAACAGCUCACUAGUCGAGCGAUCCCGCGUGGAUAAUACACGGGCAUCAAACUGUCAACCGAAGCCGUGGGGUUAGUUAAUGACUGACCGGUAGGAGAGCAUUCCUGCCAGCUUAGAAGGUCACCCGCGAGAGUGACUGGAGCGGCAUGAAAAGCAAAUGUAGGCAUAAGUAACGAUAAUGGGGGCGAGAACCCCCCACGCCGCAAGACCAAGGCUUCCCCGGCAAUGUCAAUCAGCCGGGGGUCAGCCGGCCUCUAAGGCUAACCCGAAGGGGGACGCCGACGAGAAACGGGUUAACAUUCCCGUGCUUCUCGUCACCGUGACGCGGUGACGGGGUGAUGAAUGGACCGCGCGCAGACGGAAUAGCGCGUUGAAGGUCGUACCCGAUGACGGUGGUAGUCAAGCACGCCACCCGAGGCGAAAGCCGAUAGUACCUCGAGGCCUCGGCCGAGGGGAUAGCGUCCAGGCAAUUUACCCCCUAGAAAACCCGCUAAACUUCAAGUGACGAGGAACCGUACCGUAAACGGACACACGUGGUCGGGUAGAACAUACCAAGGCGCUCGAGUGAUUCAUGGUCAAGGAACUAGGCAAAAUAGUCCUGUAACUUAGGGAUAAAGGACGCUCUAGUGAUAGAGCCGCAGAGAAAUGGCCCAGGCGACUGUUUACCAAAAACACAUGGCUAUGCCAAAUCGAAAGAUGACGUAUAUGGCCUGACACCUGCCCGGUGCCGGAAGGUUAAGAGGAGAGCUCAUCAGUAAUGAGAAGGUUUGAAUUGAAGCCCCGGUAAACGGCGGCCGUAACUAUAACGGUCCUAAGGUAGCGAAAUUCCUUGUCGGGUAAGUUCCGACCUGCACGAAUGGUGUAACGAUCUGGACACUGUCUCAACCGUGAGCUCGGUGAAAUUGUAGUCCCGGUGA
RNAcentral lists this ribosomal RNA (2036 nucleotides) under human gut metagenome. RNAcentral's name for it is "bacterial LSU rRNA". It matches the Rfam family "Bacterial large subunit ribosomal RNA", at positions 1 to 2056 of the family's 2925-position model. The record is from RNAcentral.